This 561-nucleotide ribosomal RNA is filed under the name Triticum aestivum (bread wheat). RNAcentral's name for it is "partial small subunit ribosomal RNA". The record is from RNAcentral. Lineage: Eukaryota; Viridiplantae; Streptophyta; Magnoliopsida; Poales; Poaceae.
CUUGUUGACCAUUGCAGCGAGCGCACUGCCGCAGUGCGUCCUCCUCGGCAGCGUGGGGGCACGGCUAGGGCCAUGGAAACUUGUGUUGUCUCCUUUACAGGCUCCUAGCAUCGCUGCCGCUCGGCCAUUGCCUCACCGUGGAGAGAGAUGGGUCAGGUGGCGCGGUAGUGGGUUAGUGGCGGUGCACAGGAGGUGAAGGAGGAAUCCUUUCCUGACGCCGAGGCGAGACGAACAAGUGUCGCAUGGAACAAAUCCCCUAGCACCGACCCGCAGAGGCGCGACUCAGCGACGACACAACGGGGCAGAGGAGCAAAGAUGGGUGGGGACCUGGGGUGCGAUGCAGCAUCGCAGAGGAGGCGGGUGUGAGGGCGGAGGCGGCGACACGACGGAAGGCGAAGGCUGAGCAGAUCAAGCUAGGAUGGACUGAGGGAUCAGGGGCGCUUAUCUCUGCUGAUGGCGGACACCCGCGGCGUUAGGCAGAAGAGGAUCAGGAUUAGGGGAAGGAGCCGAUAGGUUGGAGAGAUCAGCGAACUGACGUGUAUGGUCAAACCAACUCUGUCU